ACAAGUAAACCACACAAGAAGUGUGUAUGUUUGCUUAAGGUGUGAGCAUGGCUCCUUGCUUCCAUGUGUAAUGGGAUCUUGUGCAGCAUCAUUGGCAUUUCUCUUUACAAUUCAGCUUACACGUUGAUAAAAGCAACAAAGAAUCAAGAAUGACUAAAUAGAAUGUUGGAUGUAGAAAGUGGAAGGACAAGUUGAUUGAUUCAUUUUGCUAUGAAUUUUUAUUGGUUAGUUUGCAUAUGUUUUGUUUUGUUAUUUGGAAAUGUUGUCAUUUGAUGAAUUCUUUGGAAGCCAAUCACGCGGCGGCGAGAGUAAUAAUUUUGCUUGGAUCAUGUUGAACUUUUUGGGAUAUUACAACUUGUUGAAACACUAUAUUGUGGGUCCCAGUUUUAUACAGUAGUAUUUUUGUUCCUUCAUUUUGAAGGUGCCAACCCUUGUGUCCUAGCUUAUUAAUUCAUCCAAGUCGCAAUAUUUAUCAAAAUAUUGGACCAUAAUGUAAGUUCGGAUGACUUCGAGUCAAAUCAUUUUAUUAUCGAUUUUCUUUUUUUAUUCAUGUACUCUUGCAUGGUCGUUUCCACUAUAUCAAUGAGACAUCACUUCUCAUCGUUAUUAUCAAGAAGAGUUUCGAUAGAAGGAGUUUGUCAGAGUUUGUCGAACCCUAGACAUUGAAAUUGGUGUUGGAUCAAUGAGAAGAGUUUAGGCAAUUGAACCAAAAGUAAUUGAAUAAAUGAGACACUCAUAUCUUAUCCUAAAAUCUUAAGUUAUUAAAUUAUAGAUCCUCUCGUUUAUAUAUUGGUCAACACUUUCUUUUUUAUCUCAUGUGAGACUUUUAAUUGACCUCGCAUUUGCCACAAUACAAACAACACAUUAAACCUCUUUUAAACAACAAAUAUUUGAUAAACUAAUUGAUAAUAUGUGAGUUUAGAGCUGAUAGUGGCCGGAUAAACAAAGAUGGCAAGAGAAGCAAGUAGAACAAUGGCUACAACUGCAAUCUUGACCUUUCUUCUAUAAUCUUAAUCUUUCACACAAUAUACACAAAAGUGAAGAAGUUGGUGUUCAAGCCUCAUUCAUGACAUUCGACCUAACAAUUCUGAGACAUCUUUUUUUUUUUUUCGGUGGUGGACGGGAUUUAAACCCCAGACCUUGCAUAUAUUAUAUAUUGUCCUUACCAACUGAGCUAUGCUCACGAGAACGAAGAUGACAUCUUAAUUAACGUUCACUACUUUCUCUUCUCACUCAUAUUUUUUUCUUUGCACUUUGGGCCCUUAAAUUUAUUAUAAUUUUCCAGGUGAAGCAUCCUUUGCAAUAUUUAUGCGUUUUCCCCCUUUUUAAUUCAUUUUCUUUUAUUAGUCUAUUUUAAUUAUUAAAAAAAUCUGCAAAUGACAUGUGGUGGAAAUCCACACAUAUUUUUUUACCAUUUUUCAGUGUGUUGGCUCUAAUGUAAUUGGCUCUAAUAUAAUUUGAGAAGCGUUCGGUAAUUAAUUUGUUGAACGUUCGUGAACUAAAUAACCUAAACACAAGUUGAAAACUAAGUCUAUAAUUAACUAAAUGAAAUAAACGUGAGCUAUGAAUGUUCGACUUGUUUAUUCAUAAGUUGGUUUGAUUGUUUGUGAUACUAACAAAAUAUUUAUAUUUAAAUUUAUAUACGUAUCAAAUGUCAAUACAUCGUGGAUAAUCGCGGAUACAUGCUCUACAAGUAUCGUAAUUAUUUUUAUUCAGAAAAAAGUAUAAUUAUUUUUUAAAAUAUAUUCUACUAGAUACAUAUAUCUGAUACUUCAAAGAAAGUUGUGGAUACAUAUUUUAAUAUGUAUCUCAGAUGGUUUUUUUUAAAGAAAGUCGUAAAUUACUCUCAAUUCAUUAAGGAGUAAUGUAGGCGUCACCGAUAAAGUUUUUUUUUACAAUCAAUUACCAUUUAUUUUCAUCUCAAGAACGUCAAACUUCUUCUUUACCUUCAUUCAACAUGUGAUCACUGUCUCUUUUGUUUCAUGUGAUCAACUCAUGCAAAUUUAUUUAUUUUUAAAUUGUGAUCAUUAUAAUUAUAUAUUAUUGAAGAAUCAUCGAUGGAUCUUCUUCACAAGUAAUAUGGAGUACAUGAUUUUUAUUUAAAAACUUUCUUAAUGUAUUUGGCCCGUAUCAUAUGUUGAAUUUUUAAAAUAACAAUCAUCAUACAUGUAUAAUAGAGUAAUUUGAUAGUGGGAUACCCUUUAAUACAAAUAAGUAAUCCAUAUGUAUGCCAAAGAAUGAAACAAAAAUAUACCACGCUCUUGUUCUGCUUUACAGCAAAAGGACCCGCACUCUUUUUUCAUUUAUAUAUCAUCUCCGUUUAAUUUCUUUUAAUACUAAUCACGAUAUUGAUAUAACUCAAAUCUUGAUACAAUGAUAUUGUAAAAAAAUGCAAACAAAUACAGCUGAUACGGCUACAAUUACAGUUACAAUGUCAUUGCAAGACCUUUAAAACCAUUAAAACUAACUAGCUAGUGUGACAUUAGAGUUUUAUGCAGCGGGAGCAUAGUCAUAACCACCGUCAUCGUCAUCAUCACCUUCCUGGUAAGAAUCUCGGUCUCCGUUAUGAUAAUCUUCUUCAAUGCAAGAUACACUUGUAUAAUCAAACCAAUUACCUUCACCAUAUGCAUGUUGCUUGCAGUUUAGAGCAAUGACCAUGGAAAUGGAUGCCAUUUUAGUUAUAUGAGAUGCUAAUGUAAUUGUGUGAGUUGAGCUGUGUUUGAGUUAGGAUUGGAGAGUUUGUGUGUUAUAUAUAACAAAAAGAGUUGUUGUUGGAGUUGUUCUAACACAAGCAAACCACACAAGAAGUGUGUAUGUUUGCUUAAGGUGUGAGCAUACCUCAGUGCCUGCAUGUGUAAUAGAAUCUUGUGCAGCCACAUUGGCAAUUGUCUUUACAUUCAGCAUACACGUUGGAAAUAGCAGCUAAGAAUCAAGAAUAUUGACAAAAUAGAAUGUUUGAGUGGAUGCACAAUGGUUGGGACAUAUAAAGUGUUGGAUGUAGAUAGUGGAACAAGUUGAUCGAUUCAUUUAGCUAAGACUUGUUAGUCAAUGGCCUUUUUCGAAAUGUUGUC
RNAcentral lists this long non-coding RNA (3071 nucleotides) under Medicago truncatula (barrel medic). RNAcentral describes it as "long non-coding RNA (MTRU_LNC008778)". Lineage: Eukaryota; Viridiplantae; Streptophyta; Magnoliopsida; Fabales; Fabaceae. The record is from RNAcentral.